This 1466-nucleotide ribosomal RNA is filed under the name uncultured bacterium. RNAcentral's name for it is "bacterial SSU rRNA". It matches the Rfam family "Bacterial small subunit ribosomal RNA". The record is from RNAcentral.
GACGAACGCUGGCGGCGUGCCUUAUACAUGCAAGUCGAACGAGAAAGCUCCCUUCGGGGGGUGAGUAAAGUGGCGAACGGGUGAGUAAUACGUAGGUAAUCUACCCAUAGAUUGGGGAUAACGCGCCUAACGGUGCGCUAAUACCGAAUAACGCAUUAAGAUGUUGGUUUUAAUGCCAAAGGUGGUUCGCAAGAACUAUCGUCUUUGGAUGAGCUUACGGCCCAUUAGCUAGUUGGUAGGGUAACGGCCUACCAAGGCUACGAUGGGUAGCCGGCCUGAGAGGGUGUCCGGCCACACUGGGACUGAGAUACGGCCCAGACUCCUACGGGAGGCAGCAGUAAGGAAUAUUGCGCAAUGGUCGAAAGACUGACGCAGCAACGCCGCGUGGGUGAUGAAGUUCUAUGGAACGUAAAACCCUGUUAGGAGGGACGAAUAAUAUAAAGCUAACACUUUAUAGUUGACGGUACCUCCAAAGAAAGCCCCGGCUAACUCCGUGCCAGCAGCCGCGGUAAUACGGGGGGGGCGAGCGUUGUCCGGAAUCACUGGGCAUAAAGGGCGUGUAGGUGGAAUCGUAAGUUAGAGGUGAAAACUAGCAGCUUAACUGUUAGCCUGCUUCUAAGACUGCGGUUCUUGAGUGCGGAAGAGGGAAGUGGAAUUCUUGGUGUAGCGGUGAAAUGCGUAGAUAUCAAGAAGAACACCGGUAGCGAAGGCGGCUUCCUGGUCCGUAACUGACACUGAGGCGCGAAAGCGUGGGGAGCAAACAGGAUUAGAUACCCUGGUAGUCCACGCUGUAAACGUUGGGUACUAGGUGUUGGACUUUAUAGUUCAGUGCCGAAGUAAAUGCAUUAAGUACCCCGCCUGGGGAGUACGAUCGCAAGGUUGAAACUCAAAGGAAUUGACGGGGGCCCGCACAAGCGGUGGAGCAUGUGGUUCAAUUCGAUGCAACGCGAAGAACCUUACCGGGGUUUGAAAGGCAAUCGAAGAUUGUUGAAAGACAAUGGUCCUUCGGGACGAUUGUACAGGUGCUGCAUGGCUGUCGUCAGCUCGUGCCGUGAGGUGUUGGGUUAAGUCCCGCAACGAGCGCAACCCUUAUCCUUAGUUACCAUCAGUUUGCUGGGGACUCUAAGGAGACUGCUCCGGAUAACGGGGAGGAAGGUGGGGAUGACGUCAAGUCCUCAUGGCCCUUACAUCCCGGGCUACACACGUGCUACAAUGGCCAGUACAACGGGAAGCAAAACUGUGAAGUCCAGCAAAUCCCUAAAAACUGGUCUCAGUUCAGAUUGUAGUCUGCAACUCGACUACAUGAAGUCGGAAUCGCUAGUAAUCGCGGAUCAGAACGCCGCGGUGAAUACGUUCCCGGGCCUUGUACACACCGCCCGUCACGCCAUGGAAGUUGGUAGCACCCGAAGUCGCUGGUCCAACCCUCUGGGAGGAAAGCGCCGAAGGUGAAAUCAAUGACUGGGGCG